GGGGAAGCUCCCAUCUUUGGCGAAGCUUGGAUCGUCGAUGAUGCUUCGACCUCCAGCAAAGCUUCGUUCCGUCCAAGGAGUCCCCGGCGGUAAUCCUUCGCUCCAACCAACAACCAUUUCAUCCCCUUUUCUUCAUUUCUCCAGCCAAGAAAACCACCUUCCCUCAGUCCAACUCUCUUCCCUAUUUCGAUUCCGAUCAGAUCUUAACAUUCAACUUCAGUGAUGUGAUGUGAACAUCGUUGCUUUCGAUUCCAG
RNAcentral lists this long non-coding RNA (255 nucleotides) under Capsicum annuum. Its description in RNAcentral is "long non-coding RNA (CANN_LNC022599)". Lineage: Eukaryota; Viridiplantae; Streptophyta; Magnoliopsida; Solanales; Solanaceae. The record is from RNAcentral.